AUAAGCGCACACGGUGGAUGCCUUGGCGGUCAGAGGCGAUGAAGGACGUGGCAGCCUGCGAAAAGUAUCGGGGAGCUGGCAACAAGCUUUGAUCCGGUAAUGUCCGAAUGGGGAAACCCACCCGCUUGCGGGUAUCCUGCAGUGAAUACAUAGCUGCUGGAAGCGAACCUGGUGAACUGAAAUAUCUAAGUAACCAGAGGAAAAGAAAUCAACCGAGAUUCCGUAAGUAGCGACGAGCGAACGCGGACUAGCCCUUAAGCUGAUUUGGUUCUAGGAAAACGCUCUGGAAAGAGCGGCCAUAGAAGGUGAUAGCCCUGUAUCUGAAAGGGCCAUUUCAGUGAAGACGAGUAGGGCGGGGCACGUGAAACCCUGUCUGAACAUGGGGGGACCAUCCUCCAAGGCUAAAUACUACUGACCGACCGAUAGUGAACCAGUACCGUGAGGGAAAGGCGAAAAGAACCCCGGAGAGGGGAGUGAAAUAGAACCUGAAACCGUGUGCGUACAAGCAGUAGGAGCUCCGCAAGGAGUGACUGCGUACCUUUUGUAUAAUGGGUCAGCGACUUACUGUUCGUGGCAAGCUUAACCGUAUAGGGGAGGCGAAGGGAAACCGAGUCUGAUAAGGGCGCAUAGUCGCGGGCAGUAGACCCGAAACCGGGUGAUCUAGUCAUGCCCAGGGUGAAGGUGCGGUAACACGCACUGGAGGCCCGAACCCACUCCCGUUGCAAAGGUAGGGGAUGAGGUGUGAUUAGGAGUGAAAAGCUAAUCGAACCCGGAGAUAGCUGGUUCUCCUCGAAAGCUAUUUAGGUAGCGCCUCAUAUGUAUCCUCUCGGGGGUAGAGCACUGUUAUGGCUAGGGGGUCAUCGCGACUUACCAAACCAUUGCAAACUCCGAAUACCGAGACGGACUGUAUGGGAGACACACGGCGGGUGCUAACGUCCGUCGUGAAAAGGGAAACAACCCAGACCCACAGCUAAGGUCCCAAAUUCACUGCUAAGUGGAAAACCAUGUGGAAAGGCACAGACAGCCAGGAGGUUGGCUUAGAAGCAGCCACCCUUUAAAGAAAGCGUAAUAGCUCACUGGUCGAGUCGGUCUGCGGGGAAGAUUUAACGGGGCUAAGCAGUGAACCGAAGCUUGGGGUGCAUAACUUUGUUAUGCGCGGUAGAGGAGCGUUCCGUAAGCCGUUGAAGGUGGAUUGAGAAGUCUGCUGGAGGUAUCGGAAGUGCGAAUGCUGACAUGAGUAACGAUAAUGCGGGUGAAAAACCCGCACGCCGAAAGCCCAAGGUUUCCUUGCGCAACGUUAAUCGGCGCAGGGUGAGUCGGCCCCUAAGGCGAGGACGAAAGUCGUAGUCGAUGGGAAGCAGGUUAAUAUUCCUGCACCUCGCGUAAGUGCGAUGGAGGGACGGAGAAGGUUAGGUGUACCAGGCGUUGGUUGUCCUGGGGAAAGGCGGUAGGUUUGGGUCUUUGGCAAAUCCGGGAUCCUUUAAGACCGAGCACCGAGACGAGCCUUUAAGGCGAAGUCACUGAUACCACGCUUCCAGGAAAAGCUCCUAAGCUUCAGCUUACGCAGACCGUACCGUAAACCGACACAGGUGGGUAGGAUGAGAAUUCUCAGGCGCUUGAGAGAACUCGGGUGAAGGAACUAGGCAACAUGGCACCGUAACUUCGGGAGAAGGUGCACCCUUUUUGGUGGCUCGUGCGAGCUAUAGCUGAAGAGGGUCGCAGUAACCAGGCCGCUGCGACUGUUUAUCAAAAACACAGCACUCUGCAAACACGAAAGUGGACGUAUAGGGUGUGACGCCUGCCCGGUGCUGGAAGGUUAAUUGAUGGGGUCAGCCGCAAGGCGAAGCUCUUGAUCGAAGCCCCAGUAAACGGCGGCCGUAACUAUAACGGUCCUAAGGUAGCGAAAUUCCUUGUCGGGUAAGUUCCGACCUGCACGAAUGGCGUAACGACAGCGGCGCUGUCUCCACCCGAGACUCAGUGAAAUUGAAAUCGCUGUGAAGAUGCAGCGUUCCCGUGGCAAGACGGAAAGACCCCGUGAACCUUUACUAUAGCUUUACACUGAACGUUGAGUUCGUCUGUGUAGGAUAGGUGGGAGGCUAUGAAACUGUGGCGCUAGCUGCAGUGGAGCCAUCCUUGAAAUACCACCCUGUCGUGCUUGACGUUCUAACCUGGGCCCAUUAUCUGGGUCGGGGACCGUGUAUGGUGGGUAGUUUGACUGGGGCGGUCUCCUCCUAAAGAGUAACGGAGGAGCUCGAAGGUACGCUCAGCGCGGUCGGACAUCGCGCACUGUGUGCAAAGGCAUAAGCGUGCUUGACUGCAAGAUCGACGGAUCAAGCAGGUAGGAAACUAGGACUUAGUGAUCCGGUGGUUCUGUAUGGAAGGGCCAUCGCUCAACGGAUAAAAGGUACUCCGGGGAUAACAGGCUGAUACCGCCCAAGAGUUCAUAUCGACGGCGGUGUUUGGCACCUCGAUGUCGGCUCAUCACAUCCUGGGGCUGUAGUCGGUCCCAAGGGUAUGGCUGUUCGCCAUUUAAAGUGGUACGCGAGCUGGGUUCAGAACGUCGUGAGACAGUUCGGUCCCUAUCUGCCAUGGGCGUUGGAGAUUUGAGAGGGGCUGCUCCUAGUACGAGAGGACCGGAGUGGACGAACCUCUGGUGUUCCGGUUGUCACGCCAGUGGCAUUGCCGGGUAGCUAUGUUCGGAAGCGAUAACCGCUGAAAGCAUCUAAGCGGGAAGCGCGCCUCAAGAUGAGAUCUCCCGGGGCACAAGCCCCCUGAAGGAACCAUGUAGACUACGUGGUUGAUAGGUCAGGUGUGUAAGUACAGCAAUGUAUUGAGCUAACUGAUACUAAUGAUCCGUGCGGCUUGACC
RNAcentral lists this ribosomal RNA (2868 nucleotides) under Stenotrophomonas maltophilia. RNAcentral's name for it is "bacterial LSU rRNA". It matches the Rfam family "Bacterial large subunit ribosomal RNA". The record is from RNAcentral. Lineage: Bacteria; Pseudomonadati; Pseudomonadota; Gammaproteobacteria; Lysobacterales; Lysobacteraceae.